GUUGCACUUGUGAAUCAUGAUUCACGAGUCAGUAAAGUGAUUCUCGAGUAUUGAACGAUUCGUUCACGAAUCGAACAUCACUAUGUCUGACUGUGAGGUACUCCAGCAGCAGAAGGCACUAAUAUUCCUUGGAAGCGUGUAGUCCGCCCAACCAACGAACAAGAAGAUAGCGCCACUUGACUGACUCCGCUCAACAAGGGAGUGCCAGCAGCACCCUGCACUGAACCAACAACCUUCUAUUUCAAUGGUGGUGAUCCAAAUCAGUGUGGAGCAGAACGCAUCAUAGAGAUGUACAACUCUCCUGUUGAACACCUCAAGGCUGAAGACUGCAAGGAAAGAACGCUAAUGUACACCGAGCAUCUGAAGAACAACAUGCAAGUCCUCCAGCACAUUGAAUCCAAAACCUGUUCCAGUUC
Oreochromis aureus is the source of this 416-nucleotide long non-coding RNA. The record is from Ensembl. NCBI's taxonomy places the organism in Eukaryota, Metazoa, Chordata, Actinopteri, Cichliformes, Cichlidae.